RNAcentral lists this transfer RNA (81 nucleotides) under Saccoglossus kowalevskii. RNAcentral describes it as "tRNA-Ser". It matches the Rfam family "tRNA". From Rfam's summary of the family: Transfer RNA (tRNA) molecules are approximately 80 nucleotides in length. Their secondary structure includes four short double-helical elements and three loops (D, anti-codon, and T loops). The record is from RNAcentral. Lineage: Eukaryota; Metazoa; Hemichordata; Enteropneusta; Harrimaniidae.
GUAGUCGUGGCCGAGUGGUUAAGGCGAUGGAUUAGAAAUCUAUUGGGCUCUGCCUCGCAGCUUAGAAUCCUGCCGACUACG